Homo sapiens (human) is the source of this 3922-nucleotide non-coding RNA. The record is from RefSeq and is a predicted model, not a curated record. Lineage: Eukaryota; Metazoa; Chordata; Mammalia; Primates; Hominidae.
AGCCUGAAUGACAGAGUGAGACAGUCUCAAAAAACAAACAAACAAAACCCAACUUUGGGUCACGCAUCCAUCCUUGACCAAUUAGCUGUAGCUAGGGAAGUGGAGUCCUACGGACACAGCAAACCACCACGAGAAUCAUGGAGAUGAAUAGGGGCAGGAUAAUUUACCAGAGGAAGCCUAGAGUGGAGUGCUGGACAGACCACCAUGUGGAGUUGCCAUCUGAGGACAUUGCUACUUGGAUACCCCCACAGUCCAGCCGAGCUGCCAUCUCUUCAAGGAAGUUUUCCCUGAAGCCCUCAGGUAGACCCGUUUUUCCAUGGCGGCCACAUCAGCAUGCAGCACAUUUAAUUGGAAGUCUCCACAUAUGAGUUGGUUUUCCUUACUUAAAAUAUGCUUAUCAUCCCUUGGAGGUCUGAUGCAUUUUUCUGUCUCUGCAGACCAGCUCCUCCCCCCUCCAAAUCUCAAUGGAAGAAUGCGACAUUCUGGAUUCAGCUACCCAAAGAGGGGUUUUUUCCCCCUCUUUGUCUCUAUUAUACAUUUUAUAGGAAGGAAUUCUGUCCCAGUUAAUUCAAACUGGGACCAGAGGAACAGGGUCCCGCUGCUCAAAAUGGCUGUCACCCGUGGGUAAGGGGAGCAGUCAGAGAGUCAUUGUGACUGGGGUGGCAGUCCCACUCCAAUCUGCCUUGUGGCUUCCUAGCCUGCAACAUACAUCCUCCCAGACAUACAAAAUGUGCCUCUGCCUGAGUCUUCCUGGCAGGGAGUUUGGUACCCCCCAACAUUGGGAGGGGAGCUUACAACACAGGACUAUCUCUUCCCAUAGAUAAUCUCCUCACAAAGCUCCACUCAGGACCACUUAUAUUCUUGAGCACUUGAAAAUAUUGGCUAUUUCCUUCUGACCCCCAUGGUUUCUUUUAAAAAAUUUGCUGUUGUUUGAAUUAUUUUUCUCUACAGGUAUUGACUGCUGCCUCAUGAAGGCUGGUCCUGUCUCUAUAGUGAAUAUUGUGCACCUCAGGGUAGAAUGGAGAGCAGAAGACUUCAAAUCAGGCAGUCUGGGUUCAGACCCCAAUUCUAGUGCUAAAUAGCUACGUGACUUUAGGCCGAUUGUGUGUGACUUCCCUGAGCCCCAGUCUCUUUGCCUGCAAAAUGAGAAAAAUUAUAACAAUGUCAUCGGUUGUUCUGAGGAUUCUGAGAGGAAUUAGUAGGAGAGAGAACUAAGAAGCUGCGGGCCUCUACAGAGCCAUUCAACUGGCAUUUCGGAAGAUGUUGCCCAUCAGAGUCAGACCUUCUUAGCAUCUUCCGGCUGGGCCCAAACUUCCCAAGACCAUUUGGACAAGGUCAUCUCUAUCCCACCAUGGCCUCCUCCCAGAGGAGGAGAAGAAUCAUGCUGUUACAGCAGAACCGAAGAUUUGGGCAAGGGAGCUAAUGAUUAUGUUCUGCGUCAGGUCAGAGAUGGGCUGGGAAAGCCACUCCAAAGCCAAGACAAGCAGUUUCCUGGAAAAAGAAGGCUGCGCGGAGCCCAGAGUGGCCUGGAUCCUGCCUCAUUUCCUGGACCAGCUCCUUAGGUGGUUACUGGAUUGCCAAUAAAGCAGAGCUUAUUAAAGUCAACGAGCUCAGGCUUCAUCGCCGCCAUGGUAUCCAAGCACCAGUCUGUCUGGGAUUUCAUUUGCCAGAUGGACAAAGGAGAGGUUGUUCCAAUACAUAUCCUGAGUGGUGGGGGUGGGGAGAGAAGGGGAAGAAUGCUCUCUAGAGAAUUCUCUUUGUCCUCUGAAGUAAAUAGAGAUCAUGUCUUCCCCAGCCACACUCAGUGAUCUGAAUCUCUUGGACUGUGGAUUUUUCCUUUACCUGCUGUGAAGCCUUGAAAAGUAUGAAUUAGCUUGAUAAUGAUCCUCUAAAGAUGUUCAAGAGUUAAAGACGUGUUUAAGUUCUUCAGGCAAUCCAAUAUGACUACGGGUUUCCAAAAAUUUGAAGGAAACUGAAAAUCAUAGUUCCCAAACCAGAUAUUUUCCGGUGUCCAGAUGUUCACUGGCAUGCAAACCAAAUGUCUGGAUUAUGAGCUCCUUUUUUCAUUUCUUUUUAUCAGCUUACAUCCAGAUGUUGGAUCCAACUGGUCAGAGGCCUGGGGCAGAGACAGAAAUCAAAUCUAGGGUGUUCAUCUAGAGUCUCCUGCUCCUCCAUUCCUGCUUCCUCCUCACGCUGCCCCCACAUCCUCCCCAACUCACCUUCAUGCUACAUCUCGGCAAAUACAGCUCAUAUCCAGGCACGGUGCAGCCCUUGACAGCUGGGUCCGCAAAGGCAGAUCGGGUAUAUCUUUAAAGAAAAGUUAUCUUAACCAUUGAGAAGCCUUCCUUCCUCAGAGGAGAGCACCUCCCCAGCAGACCUCCGAGGAGACCAAGGGCAGGACAGGAAGGGUGAAAGGAAGUUUCAGGACUGCAGGAAAUAAGAGCUUGGAGGUCAAGGGAGAGAUCAGAUAAAACAUGAAUCUGAUCAGCAUCCUAGUGGUCUAGAGUGGAGACAAUCUGCGGAGUCAACCUCAGUAAGGACACACAUAGAGAAGAACCAAAGCCUCUAAAGACGAAGCUGAGAAGUGUACGGUCGUAGAAGACUCGUGUCUGUUAUUCUUAAAAGCUCAAGGAGAUGUUCUGCCAAUUGAAUGGAAACUGUCCAUAGUGGGGAGCAGAGAGCCUCAUCUUUUCUGGAACUGAACAUCCAUCCUUAAGGCCAGAUUUCUCCCAUCACCAACUUUAACUCCUGCCCUAGCCCUCUCUCUUCCUUUUCAAAACCCUCUCCACCCAGGAAGGGAGAUUCUGGAGCCAAGACUGUACCAGCCACACCUCCCCAGAGUUGUUAAGGAAGGAACUCGAAGCCAGGGGUGGUCUUCUGGCAAGCACCCCCACUACCAGUAGCAGGACAGAUGUGUUUCUAAUGGACUACACUAUCCCCGGAGGUCACAUGAUUCAGGCUGCCAAGGGUACCUGCCCUUGGGAAAUCAACUCCCGAAGAUAAAUUGGGAUUGGGUCCUGAGAAGAUCCAUGGAAGCCCAGAGGACCCUGCCUCUCUCUGUUGCUUCAUGCUGUAGAGGCAGUACUGGGGAGGGCCUGCCCCACAUCCGGCAGGGCAGCUGGAACCAUGUGUUUGAUGACACUCUGCUCCCUCAAUGUGGAGCCUCAUCCUCAUCUCACAGUCUAGCAGGCCUCUGGUGGGUUAGGCUUGUCUCACCCAGUGUGUGAGUUUUUUUGGAAGUGACCUGAUUUUGGAGUUUCCCUCCAAGCCUUUCUCAGGUACAUGCUUUCUCUUUUAUUCUGUCUUCUUUUUUUGAUCUUCUUAAAUCUGAUUUUCUCCUUUUUCCCUCUCUUGUCUCCAUCUUUUUUCCAGUCUCUCGCUUCUCUUUAUUUCUCCCCAUAUUUCACUCUGUUCUCUCACCCCAACCUUUCCCUUCUGUUUCUCUCCCUCCCUCUCUUCCCACCCCCUGCCUGGCCUUCCAUAUAUCAAGCAGAGUUUUAUCACCUUAUGCAGGGGCAGCCCUGCCACCUGCCAUAAAGUUGAUAGGCUAAUGACAUUUUGUGGAUAUUGCCAUGUCACAAGUCCAGGACAGCAUCAAAAAUAGCCCUGAUGUCUAAACCACUUCAGCUAUCUUUUUUAUUUUUAAAAUAAAUACAUUCACAUGCUUUUAAGAAACUAUAAAAAUAUAUAAAGUAAAAAGAUCUUUCUCUCACACUGUCUCCACCUCUCCUGGUCUCACCGUUGUGCUUAGGGGAAACCAUUGUGAUUAGUUUCUCCUGUGUCCUUCCAGAGUGUCUUUAUGCAAAUGAAAAUUAUUGUGAUAAUAUAUUCCUAUUUUCCCCCUUACUACACAAAAGAUAGACUACCAUAAUCCCAUUCUGCACUUUUUUUUCACUUGAUAAUAAAAACAUGAUUUUAUUAA